AAUGGACAACACCAAAUUUAAGUAUUAGAGCCAAAAGCAAAUCCAUAAUCAAUUCAGUCCCCGCUGCAGCAUAUGUUUCGGAAGCAUUAACACAGUACUACUAACUAUGAAUAUUUAAAAAGCCUAAAGUCGCAUCAUUCCCUUAUCUCUAAACUUUUGUUUUAAGACAUGAAGUAUUUAAGUUCUUAGCAAUAAUGAGAGAUGUUACACAUUGGCUCAAACCAGCGCAUUUUUGAAAGGCCAAAUCUCUUAGGAUUGAACUCUUAGUAUCACAAAACUGCUAAUACUAAGAGUUCAGUACGAUGUGUUUCCUUCUAGAAAAGUGUAGAAACAAAUGACAUCGCUCUGUGUGGUGUUCGACGUUAUCACGAGAAGCUUAGCUGGGAGUUAUCUUGGGCGUCCAUUGGUUGGCAAUCCAUCUUGAAUGCGCAUAGGUGAAGAAUUAUAAAAAGUAGAAAAAAAAACAACAGCGAUGCUAUCCAUAUUCUCCGCAGAUUGCAGAGAUGCAUAACAAUCAAAAUGUUUUUAAUUUUUCAGCCCAAUUUAAAAUUGGGUUUUCUAGGGCCUCAAGAAGUCAAAUCCGAGUAUCGGGUUUUAAGAGGCUAUAUCUAUUUGCGGUGCUGGGAGAAACUUGGUUUGUUGUUGUACCAGUGUAUUGUGCACCGAGGCGGCAGCCCUUGCUGAUGAAGGAUUCCAUCGGGUCAAUCCGUUAUUGUUGUAGCAGUCUAUUGUGCACCGAGGCGGCAGCCCUAGUCGAUGAAGGAUUCCAUCAGGUCAAUCCGUUAUUGUUGUAGCAGUCUAUUGUGCACUGAGGCGGCAGCCCUUGCCGAUGAAGGAUUCCAUCAGGUCAAUCCGGUACGUACAACCGGCUGCCAUGAUAUUGCACUUUGUUUAUUAUCCGUCACUAAAACAUAGUUUUUUCUUCUUUAAGAAGUAUUUUAAUGGCCUGUUUUUUUAAAUAAUUAACUGAUUUCAUAUAAUGUAUUCAGUAACUAUUUAUUUUUUAUUAUAUUUUUUAAAUUUGUUAAGUAUACUAGCUGAUGGGGAGUUUCUUCAUACGGGGAGCAAAAUAUUAGUUUCCCUUUACCGCUUAUUGGGCCUUGUUUAUUUUAAAAUUCGGCUUUUAAUUCAUACGAAAUAAUGCCUCAAAUUUGCGAUGUAUUUAAUAUUAAGUGAAGCUUUUAGAAAUAUUUUUUGCGAAUAUAUACUCGCGUGUUUAAGUAAGAAUGAAACCCGCGUUAAAAUUGAAUUUAAAGGUAUUUUUUUGCAUUAAAUUUUUAUUACUGUUGUUAUGUUUUCAAACAUACAAAUCCAUUUUCCUUUGUGUUGAAUUAAUUAGAAAUGGAAAGAAUUCAGAAUAGUGAUAAACAUGCAUCAAGUCGUGUUGGCCGAUAUAGUACGUAUUGCUUACAAUGAUUUGGUCUUCUAUAACGUUUUUUACUUAUUUGUUAUUUGUUGUUGUUUAUUUAUUUGUUUUUUUUUUUUUUUUGGGAGCCAAAUUUUGGAUUCAUUGAAAUUAUUUGUAUGAAUCUAUACCUUGAGCUUUAGCAUAAUUUUUCAAGCUUUAUUUUGUUAUUGUAUUAUAUUUUAUUGGUCUUGUUGGAUUUGAAGUACAAAAUGAAUAAAAAUAGAUAACGUAACAACACUCCAUAUAGUGCUCACGCACAUAGCUUAAAUAAAAAAGAUUUUGUUUCGGACCAAUCGUUAUAACCCUUGAACCAAGAACACAAGGUUAGAAAGGCUAAAUACAUUCUGGAAUUCUUCAUCCAAUGUAAAGAGUUCCCGAUCACCACUAUAGACAAGUCAAUGUACCGAGAUUGACACUGAAUCGCCCCUGGUGAAGGACCGCGAAAGUAAUAGAAACAAGUUAGGAAAGGCAGAAGAUAUGCGGUGCCGACUACAUUAUAACUUAAAAUUAAACUUUGUGUGUUAAUAAGGCGACGUCUUUAUAGGUAGGUAAACAUAUAAAACAUAUGGUAUGAAGUUCUUCAUCGGCAAGGGCUGGCGCUUCAGUUACUUUUGAGAGAGAUCCUCAAACUCCCAAACAAAUUUCCUCAAAAAAUUUCAACUGCAAAAUAAAGCAAUACGAACUAUUUCACAGGUUAACACCAAUAAAUAAUAUGUUGCAUACCUAAAAAUGGUUAACAAUAAAACAAAGGCUGGCCCUAAACACAUUAAAAUUAGUACACAAAAUAAAAAUCGAAAUUGCACCAGACUAUCGCAGAGACCAAACCUAAUAUGUUGGUAAUGCAUAACCAUAUUUCUUACGCAAUGAUGGAAAUUUCAGACUGUCAAGGGCAACAACAACAGCGUUAAAGAAGACACUAUUCUGCAAAGGAUUGCAGCUUUUUAAUUCAUUGCCGAAAGAAGUAAAGCUAGAGGCCAAUACAAACCCCCGGCAACCCCAAGGCAGCCGGUUGUACGUACCAGAUUGACCCGAUGUAUUUCUUCAUCGGCAAGGGCUGCCGCCUCAGUGAACAACAUACUGCUACAACAACAAGAAGCCCCCGGCACGGGAUAACUAUGAGCAUCACACAAGGCUGUAACUUUGAGCUCCAAUCUGUGUGGUGUUCUUCGUUAUAACGAGAAGCUUAGCAGGGAGCUACCGGGCGCGUCCACCGGUUGCGGGUAGUGGAACGGUCCACACGCAGUAGCUUCAGUCGCGGACAAUCCGCGGUAUCGAGUGGAGAGUCUCAGUUUAGAAUUGAAAUAUCCACAAGAAGUUUCUUUCUUAAUUUAAAUAACUUGAAUUCCUAUUUCAACGCUUUAUACAUUACCUAUGUGGCACGAGGGCCUUUUUGCUUAGCGCUUAAAACAUAAGACAAAUUACGUAUACCGGAUAAUGGAGGCCAGUACGAUUUAUUCCCGAAACCACAUGUGGAUACAACAAAAUCAAAUAGGGCUAAAAUAAAAAAUAUUAGGGAGUGAAAGAAGGCUCAUCGGCGCGGGUCCGGUUCAGCUAGUUUUAAAUAAAUAAAAAUUCAUAUUUACUAACAUUGUCAAAGAUUUAUAUAGUUGAUUUUUUCGAUUUUAAUCUUGUCUUUCAUUUUGGUGUUGUUGUAACAACUUGUUCAUGUGGAGGUGGCGAUCCUCCUCAAGCUCCUAUAGGUGAGCAACCUCGUUCCGGUCCAAAGGACCGAUCGUCGCGGGAACAGAGUGGCCAUUGGUUAUUUACACCAAAAACUCGCCUUGUCAUAUCGAGCGUCAUAGGCACUCAUCAUUUGUGCAAAAGCCGGCGCCACCCGGCCUCUCACUAAGACUCUCCGCUCAAUACCGCUGAUUGUCCGCGACUGCCGUUGCAGCUACUCCGUAUGGAGCAUUCCACUAUACGCAACCUGCGGUUGCGUACGCGCACGGUAUUUCGCCGGUCCUCAACUUGUGUGGUGCACACAGCUUUCCGGUGCCGGGAUAGUUAAUAAGCCGCAAAUAAAAAGUUGUUUCUAAAUGGUAUAUUCAUGGGCAAAUUUACAUACAGCUGUUGCCAUUCUUUGGACAAGAUCCGGGAAUUUCGUAUCAUGGGUGGUUUUGGUUGGUCAACAUUUCUCC
Stomoxys calcitrans (stable fly) is the source of this 3546-nucleotide RNA transcript. RefSeq lists it as uncharacterized. Lineage: Eukaryota; Metazoa; Arthropoda; Insecta; Diptera; Muscidae. The record is from RefSeq and is a predicted model, not a curated record. The transcript is spliced from 4 exons.